RNAcentral lists this ribosomal RNA (421 nucleotides) under uncultured bacterium. Its description in RNAcentral is "partial 16S ribosomal RNA". It matches the Rfam family "Bacterial small subunit ribosomal RNA", at positions 360 to 773 of the family's 1533-position model. The record is from RNAcentral.
AAUAGUGGACAAUGGGGGCAACCCUGAUCCAGCCAUGCCGAGUGUGUGAAGAAGGUCNNNGGAUUNUCAAGCACUUUAAGUUGNGAGNAAGGGCAGUAAGUUAAUACCUUGCUGUAUUGACGUUACCGACAGAAUAAGCACCGGCUAACUUCGUGCCAGCAGCCGCGGUAAUACGAAGGGUUCAAGCGUUAAUCGGAAUUACUGGGCAUAAAGCGCGCGUAGGUGGUUUGAUGAGUUGGAAGUGAAAGCCCCGGGCUCAACCUGGGAACUGCUUUCAAAACUGGCAAGCUAGAGUAUGGCAGAGGGUGGUGGAAUUUCCUGUGUAGCGGUGAAAUGCGUAGAUAUAGGAAGGAACACCAGUGGCGAAGGCGACUACCUGGACUGAUACGGACACUGAGGUGCGAAAGCGUGGGGAGCAAAC